Molecule: ribosomal RNA, 491 nt
Filed under: uncultured bacterium
Lineage: Bacteria
Description: partial 16S ribosomal RNA
Rfam family: Bacterial small subunit ribosomal RNA
Source: RNAcentral
AGUGAACGCUGGCGGUAGGCCUAACACAUGCAAGUCGAACGGCAGCACAGUAAGAGCUUGCUCUUACGGGUGGCGAGUGGCGGACGGGUGAGGAAUACAUCGGAAUCUACUUUUUCGUGGGGGAUAACGUAGGGAAACUUACGCUAAUACCGCAUACGACCUACGGGUGAAAGCAGGGGAUCUCGGACCUUGCGCGAUUGAAUGAGCCGAUGUCGGAUUAGCUAGUUGGCGGGGUAAAGGCCCACCAAGGCGUCGAUCCGUAGCUGGUCUGAGAGGAUGAUCAGCCACACUGGAACUGAGACACGGUCCAGACUCCUACGGGAGGCAGCAGUGGGGAAUAUUGGACAAUGGGCGCAAGCCUGAUCCAGCCAUACCGCGUGGGUGAAGAAGGCCUUCGGGUUGUAAAGCCCUUUUGUUGGGAAAGAAAAGCAGCAGGUUAAUACCCCGCUGUUCUGACGGUACCCAAAGAAUAAGCACCGGCUAACUUCGUG